This 426-nucleotide long non-coding RNA is filed under the name Homo sapiens (human). Its description in RNAcentral is "HSALNT0015221". Lineage: Eukaryota; Metazoa; Chordata; Mammalia; Primates; Hominidae. The record is from RNAcentral.
GCUUAUCUGGUAUUUAACUUUUCUUUCUCUGCUUGUCAAAUGAGAGUUAGAUUUUAUUUUUACAUUUGCUAAGUGUCCUGAUCUGCUCAUGAAAUCCUUCUAUGGGGGAAGCUGUGGGGCAGAUUCCUUAAGCGACCCUUUGGGACAACUCUUAUCAGGGAGGAGCGAACUGCUCAUUUCUGCCUACUUCUUUCCCUUCUGCUUCAUGUGUACUACAAAAUAGUCAUUGCAUGCAAUGGUGAGGCCCGCAAUUAGGGAAAAGAAGCUCUGGAAGCCCACUUUGCCAUCUCUACACUGGUCCAGGUCCUUCAUUAUUUUGUCCACAGCCAGAGGGGAACUCCUUUUCCAUGAGUACUCUCAGGUCCUCCUUUGUUAAGUAGCCUUUAUCCCCAGCGAAUUUGUGAAAUGUAAACAUCAUGGUUUCCA